AUUGAACGCUGGCGGCAUGCCUUACACAUGCAAGUCGAACGGCAGCGCGGGGCAACCUGGCGGCGAGUGGCGAACGGGUGAGUAAUAUAUCGGAACAUACCCUAGAGUGGGGGAUAACGUAGCGAGAGUUACGCUAAUACCGCAUACGCACUAAGGUGGAAAGUGGGGGAUCUUCGGACCUCAUGCUCAUGGGGUGGCCGAUAUCUGAUUAGCUAGUUGGUGAGGUAAAGGCUCACCAAGGCGACGAUCAGUAGCUGGUUUGAGAGAACGACCAGCCACACUGGAACUGAGACACGGUCCAGACUCCUACGGAGGCAGCAGUGGGAAUUUGGACAAUGGGGCAACCCUGAUCCAGCAAUGCCGCGUGAGUGAAGAAGG
Molecule: ribosomal RNA, 378 nt
Filed under: uncultured bacterium
Lineage: Bacteria
Description: bacterial SSU rRNA
Rfam family: Bacterial small subunit ribosomal RNA
Source: RNAcentral